GUUAGGAAUAUUCGUCAAUGGAGGAAACUCUGAACGAGCAAUGCCGCGUGAACGAUGACGGCCCUAUGGGUUGUAAAGUUCUGUUGUUUGGAAAGAACGAUAGAUAGAGGAAAUGCUAUCUAUGUGACGGUACCAUUCAAGAAAGCCACGGCUAACUACGUGCCAGCAGCCGCGGUAAUACGUAGGUGGCGAGCGUUAUCCGGAUUUAUUGGGCGUAAAGGGUGCGCAGACGGUUUAUUAAGUCUAAAAUCAAAUCUUGGGGCUCAACCCCAUUCCGUUUUAGAAACUGGUAGACUUGAGUAUGGUAGAGGCAAAUGGAAUUCCUAGUGUAGCGGUGGAAUGCGUAGAUAUUAGGAGGAACACCAGUGGCGAAGGCGAUUUGCUGGGCCAUUACUGACGUUCAGGCACGAAAGCGUGGGGAGCAAAUAGGAUUAGAAACCCUAGUAGUCC
Molecule: ribosomal RNA, 450 nt
Filed under: uncultured bacterium
Lineage: Bacteria
Description: bacterial SSU rRNA
Rfam family: Bacterial small subunit ribosomal RNA
Source: RNAcentral